GAACCUGAAACCGUGUACGUACAAGCAGUGGGAGCCCCACCACUAAGCCAGUGGUGAACUCCACAUACGCAUCCUUUGCUGAGGAUACGGUUAACGGAGCGAAAGCGACGUUCAACCUCAAAAGAAGCAGAGGGGGCUUAGUGGUGGGGUGACUGCGUACCUUUUGUAUAAUGGGUCAGCGACUUAUAUUCUGUAGCAAGGUUAACCGUAUAGGGGAGCCGCAGGGAAACCGAGUCUUAACCGGGCGUUAAGUUGCAGGGUAUAGACCCGAAACCCGGUGAUCUAGCCAUGGGCAGGUUGAAGGUUGGGUAACACUAACUGGAGGACCGAACCGACUAAUGUUGAAAAAUUAGCGGAUGACCUGUGGCUGGGGGUGAAAGGCCAAUCAAACCGGGAGAUAGCUGGUUCUCCCCGAAAGCUAUUUAGGUAGCGCCUCGUGAACUCAUCUCCGGGGGUAGAGCACUGUUUCGGCUAGGGGGCCAUCCCGGCUUACCAACCCGAUGCAAACUGCGAAUACCGGAGAAUGUUAUCACGGGAGACACACGGCGGGUGCUAACGUCCGUCGUGAAGAGGGAAACAACCCAGACCGCCAGCUAAGGUCCCAAAGUCAUGGUUAAGUGGGAAACGAUGUGGGAAGGCCCAGACAGCCAGGAUGUUGGCUUAGAAGCAGCCAUCAUUUAAAGAAAGCGUAAUAGCUCACUGGUCGAGUCGGCCUGCGCGGAAGAUGUAACGGGGCUAAACCAUGCACCGAAGCUGCGGCAGCGAACGUAUCACCCAAGACAACUUUACGGAGUUAACGAUUGACGGAGCGAAGCGACGUCAAAGCGUUCAUUAAAGUCGAGUUGGCUUAGGGAUACGUUCGUUGGGUAGGGGAGCGUUCUGUAAGCCUGUGAAGGUGGCCUGUGAGGGUUGCUGGAGGUAUCAGAAGUGCGAAUGCUGACAUAAGUAACGAUAAAGCGGGUGAAAAGCCCGCUCGCCGGAAGACCAAGGGUUCCUGUCCAACGUUAAUCGGGGCAGGGUGAGUCGACCCCUAAGGCGAGGCCGAAAGGCGUAGUCGAUGGGAAACGGGUUAAUAUUCCCGUACUUGGUGUUACUGCGAAGGGGGGACGGAGAAGGCUAUGUUGGCCGGGCGACGGUUGUCCCGGUUUAAGCGUGUAGGCUGGUUUUCCAGGCAAAUCCGGAAAAUCAAGGCUGAGGCGUGAUGACGAGGCACUACGGUGCUGAAGCAACAAAUGCCCUGCUUCCAGGAAAAGCCUCUAAGCAUCAGGUAACAUCAAAUCGUACCCCAAACCGACACAGGUGGUCAGGUAGAGAAUACCAAGGCGCUUGAGAGAACUCGGGUGAAGGAACUAGGCAAAAUGGUGCCGUAACUUCGGGAGAAGGCACGCUGACAUGUAGGUGAAGUGAUUUACUCAUGGAGCUGAAGUCAGUCGAAGAUACCAGCUGGCUGCAACUGUUUAUUAAAAACACAGCACUGUGCAAACACGAAAGUGGACGUAUACGGUGUGACGCCUGCCCGGUGCCGGAAGGUUAAUUGAUGGGGUCAGCGCAAGCGAAGCUCCUGAUCGAAGCCCCGGUAAACGGCGGCCGUAACUAUAACGGUCCUAAGGUAGCGAAAUUCCUUGUCGGGUAAGUUCCGACCUGCACGAAUGGCGUAAUGAUGGCCAGGCUGUCUCCACCCGAGACUCAGUGAAAUUGAACUCGCUGUGAAGAUGCAGUGUACCCGCGGCAAGACGGAAAGACCCCGUGAACCUUUACUAUAGCUUGACACUGAACAUUGAGCCUUGAUGUGUAGGAUAGGUGGGAGGCUUUGAAGUGUGGACGCCAGUCUGCAUGGAGCCGACCUUGAAAUACCACCCUUUAAUGUUUGAUGUUCUAACGUGGACCCGU
Molecule: ribosomal RNA, 1890 nt
Filed under: Salmonella enterica subsp. enterica serovar Poona
Lineage: Bacteria; Pseudomonadati; Pseudomonadota; Gammaproteobacteria; Enterobacterales; Enterobacteriaceae
Description: partial 23S ribosomal RNA
Rfam family: Bacterial large subunit ribosomal RNA
Source: RNAcentral